This is a long non-coding RNA of Oxyura jamaicensis (ruddy duck), 148 nucleotides long. RefSeq lists it as uncharacterized. NCBI's taxonomy places the organism in Eukaryota, Metazoa, Chordata, Aves, Anseriformes, Anatidae. The record is from RefSeq and is a predicted model, not a curated record. The transcript has 4 exons.
GUGAUAGUUUUUUGCUUUCCAGCCUCUCCUGUAGGAAGGAGUGAUCUCUCCCUCCCCAUCCUGCCUGUGAAGUAGGUGAAAGUUCUUCCAUGGUGGAUCGUGACCCUUACGGAGGUUGUAGGAGGAUUUGAAGAGAACCAGUGUUUAU